GAGCGGCGGACGGGUGAGUAACGCGUGGGUAACCUGCCCUGUACAUAUGGAUAACAUGCUGAAAAGCAUACUAAUACAUAAUAACGUACAUUGAAGGCAUCUUCGAUGUAUCAAAGCGUUAGCGUACAGGAUGGACCCGCGUCUGAUUAGCUAGUUGGUGGGGUAAAAGCCUACCAAGGCGACGAUCAGUAGCCGACCUGAGAGGGUGAUCGGCCACAUUGGAACUGAGACACGGUCCAAACUCCUACGGGAGGCAGCAGUGGGGGAUAUUGCACAAUGGGCGAAAGCUGAUGCAGCAACGCCGCGUGAACGAUGAAGGUCUUCGGAUCGUAAAGUUCUGUUGCAGGGGAAGAUAAUGACGGUACCCUGUGAGGAAGCACCGGCUGACUACGUGCCAGCAGCCGCGGUAAUACGUAGGGUGCUAGCGUUAUCCGGAUUUACUGGGCGUAAAGGGUGCGUAGGUGGUCUUUCAAGUCGGUGGUUAAAGGCUACGGCUCAACCGUAUUAAGCCGCCGAAACUGGAAGACUUGAGUGCAGGAGAGGAAAGUGGAAUUCUCAGUGUAGCGGUGAAAUGCGUAGAUAUUGGGAAGAACACCAGUAGCGAAGGCGGCUUUCUGGACUGCAACUGACACUGAGGCACGAAAGCGUGGGUAGCAAACAGGAUUAGAUACCCUGGUAGUCCACGCCGUAAACGAUGAGUACUAGGUGUCGGGGGUUACCCCCCUCGGUGCCGCAGUUAACGCAUUAAGUACUCCGCCUGGGGAGUACGCACGCAAGUGUGAAACUCAAAGGAAUUGACGGGGACCCGCACAAGUAGCGGAGCAUGUGGUUUAAUUCGAAGCAACGCGAAGAACCUUACCUAAGCUUGACAUCCCUCGGACCGGUAGUUAAUCCUACCUUCCUUCGGGGCCGAGGUGACAGGUGGUGCAUGGUUGUCGUCAGCUCGUGUCGUGAGAUGUUGGGUUAAGUCCCGCAACGAGCGCAACCCUUGUCUUUAGUUGCCAGCAUUUAGUUGGGCACUCUAGAGAGACUGCCAGGGAUAACCUGGAGGAAGGUGGGGAUGACGUCAAAUCAUCAUGCCCCUUAUGCUUAGGGCUACACACGUGCUACAAUGGGUGGUACAGAGGGUUGCCAAACCGUGAGGUGGAGCUAAUCCCUUAAAGCCAUUCUCAGUUCGGAUUGUAGGCUGAAACUCGCCUACAUGAAGCUGGAGUUACUAGUAAUCGCAGAUCAGAAUGCUGCGGUGAAUGCGUUCCCGGGUCUUGUACACACCGCCCGUCACACCAUGGGAGUCGGAAACACCCGAAGCCGAUUAUCUAACCGCAAGGAAGAAGUCGUCGAAGGUGGCGUCGAUAACUGGGGUGAAGUCGUAACAAGGUAGCCGUA
RNAcentral lists this ribosomal RNA (1386 nucleotides) under uncultured bacterium. RNAcentral's name for it is "16S ribosomal RNA". It matches the Rfam family "Bacterial small subunit ribosomal RNA". The record is from RNAcentral.